GAUGUCACAUAGUCUAUUUCAAUUUCCUUCUUUCCAAAAUCUUACUUUAGGUCACUUUUCCCCUUUCAUCUCUCCUCUUUCAGCGUGCCCCUUUCUUCCUCUUAACUUUAUUCUCUUUCUGAUCUCCCCUUUCUUUCGUCUUGUCUUUCUUAUCUUUCUACUUUACUUUUUCUUCUCUUUAUCUUCUCUCUUCUGCUUUUCUGUCGGAUUUGAAAUGGUUGAUGUGUAACUGAAAACAUCAUAACCAGCGUGCGAGGAACCAGAAGAAGAACAUGGAUUAUGAGUGAUAUGAUGGAGAUACAUAUGAUUUGGCAAGUGAUACAAACGUAAAAGAAAACAAGAAUCAACCAUAUUUGAGUUCAAGCGUUAAAUGUGUUUACAGAUUUUUGUUUCGAUUUCAAGUGAACAAAAAGAUGGAGAUCUACUUUUGGGUUGUGGAUUCGAUUUCAAGCGAAGAAGAUGGAGUUAUGCUUGUGGAUUGUGGUUUCAUUUCAAGCGAAGAAGAAGAAAAUUCAUAUAUGAGUUGUUGAUGGGGUAAGAAGUUCAACCUUUUCACUUAAUAUUCUUUAUAUAUCCCCUCUUAGUUGAAGCAUUUAAUUUUGAAUGUUCUGAAUGUUCUUACAGCUUGUACGAUAUACAAAUGUUCUUCUAUUUUUCUUACAGAGGUACUUACAUUCAAAUGUGUGAACAUAUUUUUUAGGUUAAUCUUUUUCUUUUGGAGUUUAUGAAAACAUUUUUUAAAAAUUUGUGUUUGUUUUAUAUGAUAAUAAAAAAACAGACUUUUUAAUCCGAAUUAUUUUAGGUUAAAAAAAGGUGUAUUUGGAGGUGUUAUAUAUAAUAGUAAUAAGUUAUAACAAAUGAUUUAAAGAGUAAAAAUUUAUGUGUGAUUAUUAAGCUCUGAAUUGAGAGUGGAAGAGUCUGUGUGUGUGCGCGUUGGGGUUCUCUACUUCCUUCCUAUGGAUCUUCAUGCCAACUCUCUCAAUUCCGGGAUGAAGAAAGAAAAAUAAGACGAACAACAGGUUUAGCAUAUGGUGUCUGUUUGGUUCAACACAAUAGAUUUUGUUGAAGCAGACUCGUUUUUAGCCUUUUUACAGCGUGUAAAAGUUGGCUGCAUGGUAUUGUUAAUGAUCAUGUUUUUUGUCCGUUUUGGUUAGCUUUCUGUUGGAGUGUUUGGUUGUUUAGAAAUGAGGUAGUUUUUAAAUAUAGGAAGAGAAAUAUGGAGGAUAUUUUUGUUCUAAUCAAAAUGUUGGCUUGGGAUUUGGCAGAUAUUACCUUUAUACACUGAAAAUCAAUGUUAGUUUCUUGAAUUGUUGUUGUUUUGUUA
Molecule: long non-coding RNA, 1324 nt
Organism: Lathyrus oleraceus (garden pea)
Lineage: Eukaryota; Viridiplantae; Streptophyta; Magnoliopsida; Fabales; Fabaceae
Exons: 2
Source: RefSeq, a predicted model, not a curated record